RNAcentral lists this long non-coding RNA (2660 nucleotides) under Homo sapiens (human). Its description in RNAcentral is "HSALNT0383858". The record is from RNAcentral. Lineage: Eukaryota; Metazoa; Chordata; Mammalia; Primates; Hominidae.
GAAGGAGACAGGGAUGUGUCACAUCCUUCCAUUUCACACAUUCCAAGAGAGACACAGAGUAGGCACUGGACUCAUCUGCACCCACACCAGGCGGGCAGUCACUUUCCACCAGUGCGCCUCAGGGCAGCAAAUCUCUUAGAAAGGCCGGGGCUACUCCUAAAGAAGUGCAGCUCUGACUCCGCAGAGCCAUAUCUACCAUCCCUGCAGCAAAGAAAGGAAUGUGCCACCCAGAGGCAGGGCCUGUGGCACCAAGUAAGGCUGCGUGUCACCUGGACCACAUGGGCUGCCUCUGCUUCUGCCAGCUUCUUGCAGGGCGAGCAGCAGGGAGCUGCCUUCUCCUUGAGGCCACCAAGGCCUCCUUCAGAGGCAGGACCUGGUGCCCCCGCCCUUUUCUCGGUGCUGCUUAACAUGACAGCAGUGGGGGCAUGGCAAGCAUCUGUGCACUGCCCCCUGCCUGCCACCCCCCCCACCAGGCAGAGUGUUCCAUAAGGAUGGGCUCCCAGCCCACCAGCAUCCCCGUGGCACUAGCCUGGCACAGGGAAGGGCUCAGUCUCCUUCAUCUUGGUGGCCCUGUGACUCCACCUGGCUCCUGCUCCAAGUGGAUGACAUGUGUUUGCUGAACUAAUUCUGGAAGAAAUCGCUUCCUACUCAACCCUCUUCUGGAGGCCUGUCUCAGCCUGCUGAGCCCUCAUCCCAGCUUACAUCUAUCGAGAUGCCUGUGGUUCAGCUGACGUUGACAGGGUCCUCAGGGUGCCCCCCACCCCCUCAAUGAAGCAUGAGCUCUUCUACACCCGCCAGAGGUCACCGGGCAGAGGCCAAAGUUGCAGGGACCUUGCUGAAUGCUGGGCCCACCCCAGACCGCCCCGGGGCACCUCCCAGGGCAGAGCCAGGAACAGAGUGCAGCUCCGCAGCCUAGACACCGCGUCGGCUGUGGUGGGGGUGGGAAGAGGUCUGCAGAACAAAGCUGGAGUCAGGGCAGAGCAGGGAGCUGGGCCUCAUGCCAGUGAGGGGGCAGGGCAGAAAGCCUCCUUGUGGGGAGCUGGGGGAGCUCAGGAGGCUGGCUGUGCAGGGCAAUGGAGUGGAGACCCGUAGCUCACUGUCCAGGACAACAUGCUCUAAGAAAGCGUAUCGAAAUCCAUCCCCAGGACUUUAGGGAAAGAAGGCAGCCAAGGCAAACAGGCUCCAGGUCUCUAUCUGCAGUCCUGGCUCAGGCCCCGGCCAGGGCGGUGAGUGCCACGUCCCGGCUGGGUGUGAACGUGGGUGCGCGUGCAAGAAUGCAGGCUUCGCGCUGGCGGCCUUGGAGGGGGCAGACACCCUGCCCAGGAGGCCCUGCACAGAGCAGGCUUUAUUCCCUCUGGUCGUGCAGGAGGUGGUGCCCUGGCUGGGGGCUCUCGCCAGCGGUGGCCUCAAUAACACUUUGUGUCGUGUUCUCCUGCGCUCUGGUACGGGCCUGGUCCCAAGCUGCGUAGCCUCGCUGUGGGGCCAUGGUCAUAAAUGACUCUAAGGUUCAUUUCAUACCUGUUUUUUUUUUUUUUAAAUGAAACUGAAGAAGGGUGAAGAGAAGAGUUCAUGUAUUUUGCGACCAUCCAGAAGUAAUAAUAAUACUCAUUUACCAAGCACACCGGCCUAGACCUUUGGGUAUGCUAGGCCUUCUGUCUCUUCUUAUACCUGUUUUGUAGAUGGGCAAACUGGAAUUGGAUGAUGACAGUCACAUUUUAACAAAGCAACACCAGUAAAGGCUUCUUGUGCAUUUAGUGAGGGCGCCUAUGCACAGACAGGCCCCUCAGGGUGGAUGAAACCAGAGCUGGCUGAGCCGUGCCUGAAUCCUGUGGGCGGAGGAGCCCGGAAAAGCCAGGGAGCUGCCCCCCACUGAGGGGCAGCUUCUCAAAGGAGGGGACAAGGCCCCGGGUCUUGAGAACUGAAUCGGAGGCCGUCUGGGAAGAGGUCACCCUUCCUGCCAACAGUGUGAAGGACCCCAACCCUGACAGAGACCAGACCCUGGGAUCUGGAAUGUGUAUCCUGAGUGCAUUCUGCCACUGCCUCUUAGCCACCUUCCCUGAUGCUGUCUGGGAUGCAGGCAUUGCAUGCAGUUCACGUCGGAAGAUUCCACACUGCAAUCCAGAGACCAAAAGGAGCCCAUUGCGAUCUGGCUCUGGGGGACCCUGGGAUGAUAUCCCUACCCCCAGGGACAGGAACCAACCCCCGGGGACCUGGAGAGACUCUGUGCCCUGCAGGACCGAUGGGGGACUCCUCCCUGUAUGUACGUGUGCGUGGCCCUGCCUUGUUCUUGCCCCGGACCUGGCCUGGUGAAGGAGGCACGAGGAAGAUUGCAGUCAGGGACGCUCAGCCUGGGAGCUGACCCUCAGGUGAGGCCCUAAGGAAGUUCCCAGACCUCCCUGAACCUCAGUAUGCUCAUCUGUCCAGCAGCAACCCUGGGCCUUAAGUGAGAACAUCUAUGCGGAAGAGGCAGGUGCCAAUCAAGCCCUCUGUAAAGUUACCUCCCCUUUUCCCUUCUUCUCCUCUCACAGAGCUGAAGAAUAUUUUGCAAAGUUCAUUGUAAACAUUAAAAUAAUCUUGGGUGUUUAUCAUUCGUUAAACCUGUUGGGCUGACUUUAGGUCUACCGCUCUCAAAAAACCAAGAAUAAAUGGCACAGGGAGCU